RNAcentral lists this transfer RNA (69 nucleotides) under Laimosemion tecminae. RNAcentral's name for it is "tRNA-Val". It matches the Rfam family "tRNA". From Rfam's summary of the family: Transfer RNA (tRNA) molecules are approximately 80 nucleotides in length. Their secondary structure includes four short double-helical elements and three loops (D, anti-codon, and T loops). The record is from RNAcentral. Lineage: Eukaryota; Metazoa; Chordata; Actinopteri; Cyprinodontiformes; Rivulidae.
CAGAACAUAGCUAAACAAUAGCAUUUCCCUUACACCGAAAAGUUGCUCACUCAAAUCGAGCUGUUCUGA